Molecule: non-coding RNA, 3557 nt
Organism: Macaca mulatta (Rhesus monkey)
Lineage: Eukaryota; Metazoa; Chordata; Mammalia; Primates; Cercopithecidae
Source: RefSeq, a predicted model, not a curated record
CGUGGGGCUCUCGGCGCCGCAGGCGCUUCCCGGCCCUGUCUGGCCUCGGGCUCCGCCGCUUCGCAGCCGAGUCUGGGACUCGGGACUCAGCUGCCCGCUGCUGCGCGGCUCCUCCAUGACCCCGCGCCCCGCCCGGGACCGGCCCUCUCGCGCACUGGCCCUCUUCUCGGCUUCCUCUUGAGCUUUCCUCGGACAGGGGCACCGUGCGCUCCCGGGCCACCGUCGCUCUGCCUUCGGCUCUCUGGGGCCGGGGAUUCCGGAUCGGAAGCCGGGAUGCGGGCCGGGGCGCGCACAGACGCUAGGCGGCCCAGCCCGGGCGCCGCUGGCACGGGCUCGCGGCUCCCGGCAAAAACCCGUCCGACUGGCUGGGCCACUCCCGCCUGACGCCCCCCCAGAUGACACGACUAGCUCUCCAGGCGUGCUGCCUUUGCCAGUCUACCCGCCAGGUUGUUAGAACAGGCGGCACCUCGUCUUCUGCGUGUCCCUGCAGAGCCCCGGCACAAUCAGACUGCCCCAAGCCAACUCCGAAACCCGAAAUCCCCGCUCCGGCGCUUGCCCGCCGCCGCCAAAGUUGUGGAAACAGCUUUGACUUUAUUCUCCUCUCUCUCUCCUUUCUUAUCUUUUUUGCCUCGCUUACACACGCAUUCACAUUUGCCCCCACAGGAUCCCUCUAUGGGUGCAAGUUCAUCCCCCACCUAGCCACCCACCCCACCCAGUCGGCGCCUAGAGCCGCUCGGAGGUUCGGACCCCGCCCGCCGAGAGCGCCCACACCUGGAGCUGGGUUUCGGCCUCUGCGAAAGUGAAAUGCCCGAGCCUCCAGCCAAAGCCCAGACCAGUACAGUAUGAACUGUCCUAUGAGACUGAGGGGCUCAGUUUCAUUCCUCCCUGCCCGCAAAGCUCGCCCCCAGCCUCGAAAACAAAGCUACUGGUCUGACGCGGGGUCCCUGCGCCCUUCCCCCAGCGCGACAGGACCCACCAGAGAAGAACCGGCACCCGUGGGAUGUCACCCCGUCCCCAUCUACCGGGAUGGGGGGCCUGAAAGGAGAAAGAUUUAAAAUAGUCUUCAGAAAGAAAAGGGAGGAGGGAGCGGGUGACACAUCGUUCACAUAAACCCGAUUUCUGGUUUCCAGUGAAGUCAGGAUCUCCGCCCCUGCGCCUGCACACCUCCUGCCUAACAUUCUCAGCUCCAAAUGCCAAAAACUAAGGGGGGAAAAAAAACAGCAAAAGUUGGGACUGCCACCUAUUUAUUUAGGGAAUCUCCAGCCCUACACACCCCAACCCCGCUCUCGGACUCAUUGCUCAUUUCAGUGAUGGUUGUGACCGUUCCCAGCGCCUCCUGCGGGUGGACCGGUAGCGCUAGGGUCUCCCUUGCUGCCUCAAGAAGGCGAGCUCAGGGGACUCUAGGUUUUAAAAUGGGUUCCAAAGCGGCGCGCUCUGUCGGCCCAGCGGGCUCGCGGCACCAGAGGUGGUCCGCAGCCGCGCAAGGAUUCCCACGGUCGUUCUGGGCUGGUGCAGAAGCUGGUGCUCCAGUGCCCAGCGGCCAGCAGGCUCGGCGAGGCACAUCUCCCCACCCCACCCCCACACACCCCCGUGGAGUGCGUCGAUCCUGUAGCUUAGAGGGAGAAGCUACUUAGAACUUCUUGAACCACAGAGGAUCUGGAGCGAGCCCCGCAGCUGGAAAGAGUGGUCUUAAGUUGAACCCGCUUACAGUAAGAUGCAGCCCAGAUCACAGCGAAGUGUGGGGGCCCGUCUCUAAAGCCGAGAAGGGAACCGCUUUAGAAAGUGGCGUGGGGGGAAGAAAGAAAGAAUGAAUGAAUGAAUAGAAAGAAGAAGGAAUAUUAAAGAUCGGAGAGGAAGUUGAAGAGAGAAGAGUUUUCUCUUUCCUUUCUGUUCCUGGUGACUUGGGCCCUCAGAAUCUCGAUGAGGAUAACACGAGGAGUGCACAGGCAAGUGCCCAGUGGCCAGCAAUUGCUUCAAAAGCCCAUGUUCUUCUCUUCGCCCCACUCUUAGGCACAGCCAAAAUUGGUCAGAAAGGGGAGUAAAGUGGGACACGGGCUUCAAAGUAGGGAAACCAAAGAAGGGAGCAUCCACGUCCUCCCUCUCCAGCUUCUCCCCCGCGUUCUUCGGGCGAAUCCGAGGGGCGGGCGCUGCGCUGGGGAAAGUUUGUCCCACCCGCGUUUCGCAGCUGGUUGCAAGGAGAGGAGGAGGAGAGGGAGGGUCGAGCUCGGAGCCUGUGGGCGCAGGGAUGAUCGAGCCGGCGUCGCGCUUACCUCGCAGUCCUCGUACUUGAUAUUAUCUGUCAAUUUCCAAAGCAUUUUCAUGGAUCGGCGUGAACGGAUAUGCCCCUCUCCGUCUCGCACGCAAGUGGAGCUACUCUCUGGCUCUUUACCAACAGCCUAAUCGCCUCAUUAGCAUAUCAACAAUAGUCCAAUUGCUCGCCAGUACCACAAUCUGCCGCCGGCCGCUCCGACACAGGUAUAAAGGCCUCUCUACGCCGCGAACUUGCUUCUAGAGCGCACUCUAGCCUGCGAACUGAUAAAACCUUUCUUGAGCUCCGCCGCGAGCCCCUGUCCCAGCACCACCUCUCUUACCCCAAUUCCGCCACAUUCCCCUUCCUUUCUCUCUCCGCUUCCUUUUCUCCAGAGAUGCCUUCUGCAAAGCCCGGCACUGCUCAAAGUCCAAGCCGCCACGCCUGGGGCCCGGCUUCUAGCACUUCUCCCUUAACCCUACUACCACGAUCCGAGCUGCCCUUUUGGCCCCGUGCAAUUUUAUUAGAAAUCAUUAUCCCUUUCGCAAUUAAACAUAACCACCAAACCAAGACCGGCGAAGUUACUCCAAAAUUUUUGCCCAACAAGGGAUCGCCUCCGCUUGCGGCAGCCACCCCCUCGGGCCGCAGCGCCUUGGGAGUUUUAUUGGCUUUGAGCUUUCCCCCAGGUCGGAGAUUCUGCCAAGCGACUCCGGUGGCUCUGCUGGGGUUUGCAAUCCCUUAAUUGCGGCGUGUAAAAUAAAAGUUGUACCCUGAAGAGGUUACUUGACAGCUUCGGGGGUUAAACAAUUUUCCUUCGGUUUGUGUGAAGCUAGGGCCAACUGACAGUUCAACUUGGUGUUCAGGCUAAGGUUUCCUAGGUGCGACUUUACUGCACACCCGCUUCUGAAGUUGAGCCGAAAUACAGACAUGUGUGUGCCUGCAAGUCUAGAUACCGUCUCAUGCAUGCAUCAAAAUAAAUCACCGGGAACCGACUCUUAGCUGUGUUAAUCUGCUCUAGUUUUCCCAAGAUUCCCCUUUUUAAUUAAAGCAGGGAGAGUUCCUUCAUGAUUUGGUGAUGCUACUAACGCAGGCGUGCUCGCGAGGCAGAGCCCGGCUGCCGCGCAACCUGGAGGCCUGGGAGCCACCUCCUCGUCCAGAUUGGUCAGUCCGGGCUUUUGGACUCCUCACAGGAGCCUGCUGGCUCCUCCGGGGCUUUUAUCCCUUUCGUUUUUGGGAUUUUUUUUAAGUAAGAAAAAAGAAAAGAAAAGGACCUAAUGUGACACUAUGAAAUACAGAGUAAUUAAUUUUC